This 497-nucleotide ribosomal RNA is filed under the name uncultured bacterium. RNAcentral describes it as "bacterial SSU rRNA". It matches the Rfam family "Bacterial small subunit ribosomal RNA", at positions 22 to 518 of the family's 1533-position model. The record is from RNAcentral.
CGUCAGAAUCAACGCUGGCGGCGUGCCUAACACGAUGCAAGUCGGACGAGAAAGUGGGGGCGACCCUGCGAGUACAGUGGCAGACGGGUGAGUAACACGUGAACAACCUACCCUUGAGUGGGGAAUAACACCGCGAAAGCGGUGCUAAUACCGCAUAAAAUCUUUGAGUUGCAUGACUUAGAGAUCAAAAUCGAGAGGUGCUUGAGGAGGGGUUCGCGGCUGAUUAGCUAGUUGGUGAGGUAACGGCCCACCAAGGCAACGAUCAGUAGCCGGCCUGAGAGGGCGAACGGCCACACUGGAACUGAGACACGGUCCAGACUCCUACGGGAGGCAGCAGUGGGGAAUUUUGCGCAAUGGGCGAAAGCCUGACGCAGCAACGCCGCGUGGAGGAUGAAGGCCUUCGGGUCGUAAACUCCUGUCGAUGGGGACGAAGGCCCAGCAAUGGGCGUGACUGUACCCGUUGAGGAAGCCACGGCUAACUCCGUGCCAGCAGCAGC